AAUACUCGCAUUGUAGAGCGCUGGAUACCUUUUACAGAAUGGUCUGAGUUGUUAUGAUACGCCAUUUAAACCCACAAGGUUACUAUGAACAUUGGGGCGAGGAGAGUAAUAGUUUACUCCAGCAGACGAUGGAGGUGGAGAGAAUAGAUUACGACAUUGGAGGGGUGCUACUUCACAGCCUGAGUGAGGGACACAGGAUCUGGUGGGUAAGCAUGGGACUAGUCCCAAAUAGCACCCUGUUCUCUAUGUAGUGCCCUACUGUUGACCAGUGCCCAUAGGGAUAUGGGACUCUACUCAAAAGUAGUGCACUUUAUAGGGAACAUUUUGUAAUUUGAGAUGCAGACAUGGGCUCAAGCAUAAUUUGGAAAAAAUAGAGGUCAGUGAACAGUAAUAAGGGCCAGUUUCCCAGACACAGAUUAAGCCUAGUCCUGGACUAAACAACACAGUCAAUGGAGAAUAUCCAUUGAAAUAGCUUUGUAGUCCAAGACUGAACGUAUUAUCUGGGUCUGGGAAACUGGCCCUGAUGGUGUGUGGUCGCGAUCUUCAGAGAAAUGUCCAUUAUGCUGAUAGGAAACGUCUAGUCACCUAGGCAGCAUAACAUAAUUGGCGAUGAUGAGUUUGCUGACUGUUUGUGCUGUCAUUGUUCCAGGGCUCAGUUCCAAGCUGUGUGAGGAGAUCCGUGACAAGUUUCGGUCACAUUUUGACUGGAUCAGUGGCGCCGCACCAAAGUGCAGAGAAUCCCGUUCAACACUACAGCACACUGCUGAGUUUAGCCUCACUGCAAAGGUAUGUGUUUGUCUUAUUUGAGUCAAAAGUAGCCUUCGUUGCCCAAUAAUACUAAACCCAGAAGGAAUACCAAAUGUCUAGUUUUGAGUCAGACCUGGGCCUGUAUUCAUAAAGCUUUAGUAGGACUGCUGAUCUAGGAUCAGGUCCUCCCUGUCCAUAAUAAUCUGAUUCAACAUCAAAUUAUAUUUUAUUGGUUGCAUACACAUAUUUAGUAGAUGUUAUUGCGGGUGUAGGUAAAUGCUUGUGUUCCUAGCUCCCAGCAGUUCAGUAAUAUCUAGCUGUAAAGACAUUAAGGACAGUAUGUGGAUAUAAUAUUUAGUACAUCUAGAAUACGUAGGGUAGAAUAGUGACUAUGAUAUAAAAGGCAAAACUGAUCCUAGAUCAGCACUCUGAGAAGUUUGAUGAAUACGGGCCCUGGUCCUCGCCUGCCUUCAGGUCUGCUGACAAUGUGCUCCUGUUUCAUAAUGACCAGGCCCUAACCCUGAGCCCAGGCCCUACAGAGGGCGCUCAUGAGCACAUCAUCCUCUCUCUCUCUGUUGUUCCACCAGCAGCAGAAUCCCUCUGUGAUGAAUACACACAUCACCUCACGCAUGGCUGGACUACUGCUGCCUGUCCACAGCCUCACCACAGUCAGUGUAAAUAGCUGAUGUUGGUGGUUUCUCCAGUGGCCUGAGUUGAGGUGUGGAGCCCUUGGAACUGAUUAGCGAGAAGACUCGCUGGGAAUCCUUGGCCAGCUGCACCCUCCAGCCUGUUCCACAGCUUUCCCCCACAGGGAAAUCUUAUAGUAGCCUGACAGUGUUGGCUGUGGCUAGAUGCAACAAGGACGGCUCUUUCCUCAGGUCCAAUGCACUUCAGAAGUUG
Oncorhynchus mykiss (rainbow trout) is the source of this 1647-nucleotide non-coding RNA. The record is from RefSeq and is a predicted model, not a curated record. Lineage: Eukaryota; Metazoa; Chordata; Actinopteri; Salmoniformes; Salmonidae.